AUCCGGCUGACGAGUCCCAAGUGGGACGAAACACAGGUCCUGGAU
This 45-nucleotide non-coding RNA is filed under the name Schistosoma bovis. The record is from RNAcentral. Lineage: Eukaryota; Metazoa; Platyhelminthes; Trematoda; Strigeidida; Schistosomatidae. RNAcentral also lists the same sequence under 1 other name.